GAGGAGGCCGGUGGGUCGGACCCCUCGGGUCGCUGAGCCUGCGGAGCGAAGCUCCCGGCUGUGAGGCCGGUCGGCGCAGUGCAGGCCGGGCUGCCUUGGCUUCUGCGAGCGAGCGCAGAGCGCGUCGGGAAUUGUAGUGCGGCCCGGGCCGGCGGCAUUGUCCGUGACGCGGCCCAGGUACCGGCUUGGGAUGCAGCCGGGAUGCCCAGCCUCGCCGCUCCGCCCUUUCCCGCCCAACACUCAGCCGCCCACGGCUUUCCCGGAGCAGUUAGGCUCGCGUCGCUUCACCCCACCUAGUCGAAGCCUUCGAAGGCAGCCAGGAAGGGGUAGCUCGGAGCAGCCUUAUAUUCAGCAGACCCAUCGGAUCCGGCCAGGCUUUUGAGAAGGAGUUCCAGGCUCAGUGCCAGCCUCCUCGUGUACUGGAAAGGACAGACCACCCUAGGUGGUGUCAGGAGCCCAAAUCUCGGUCUUGACCCCCACCCCCACCCCAGUCCCCAGCCCAGAAACGACUCAAGUGGCCACUAUCUACAGUGCAGGGUUAAUUCAUUUGGUCGACUAGGCAGAUACCUCAGCACUGGCAGGGCAAGGGCCUCAAAGAGAGCAAUACAAGAAACAUUAAAAAAAAUUAAUAGAAAAUUAUUCUCGUUUCAAAUAUUUGGUGUUUAAUUUGACAACUUAACGUUUUUAUUAUAGUGACAGAUGGAGUUGCACUAAAAGUCUCAUUUCUGCCCUGCUCCCUCACCCUAACCACUACAAACUGUUUAGGCCCUGCAGCAAAGGCAUGCCCUGUUUUAAAGCAUUGCCAGUCUAGUUGAGAACACAGACUCAAGCCCACAGAUCGACAGUUCUGUGUUUUGCUAUUCUGUUUACGCAGAAAGGAAUCCUUAACAUGUUUGUCCUCCAAGAGCAAAGAAAAGUCUCUAGUAAAAAAUGCAAAUCAUAUCUAACAGUGAAGCUUUCCAGCAAAAACCUUCUGCUCUAGAAUGCAUAAUGUACUAAAGCAUAGUAAGAUCUGCUACUACAGACUUAUAGCAAAAUUACCUGUAGGCAGCAAAAAAGGGAGGAAACAGUGAUUGGUGCCCCUUGGACCUGGAACUCUGAGAACCUGGCAGAGCAAAACAGUGGAAGGAAGAGACAUGGCUGUAGAAUAAGAAGGUGACUUUUUUCUUUCUUUUUUUGGGCCGCACCUGUGGCAUAUGGGAGUUCCUAGGCUAGAGGUCAAAUGGGAGCUACACUUGCCGGCCUAUACCACAGCCGCAGCAACAACAACGCAAGAUUUGAGGCACAUCUGUGACCUUUGCUGCAGCUCACAGCAAUGCCGGAUCCUUAACCCACUGAGCGAGGCCAGGGAUUAAACUCUCAUACUCAUGGAUACUAGUCGGGUUCGUUACUGCUGAGCUACAACGGGAUCUACAAGAGGUCAGUUUUUUUUUUUUUUUUUUCCACAAAAGCCAUUUAGAGCAGUCUUCAUAAUUCCUGUCAAGGUCUGGAGGUGCUUAUCUGCUGUUGAGUUCCACUUUUCCCAGUUUCUAACCUCUGUAGGCCUGAAAAACUACAAAUUAGAUGAUCAUAUGGCCUGGAGCCAGAAAUGCUAGAGGCAGCAAGCCAGAGGUCAUUCCUUUGUUGGUUUCUGAAUAAGUGGAUCAUAUCCUGACUUAAAAUAAUCAGAAUAAAUUUCAUAUAGUGAAAGUCUUUCCAGCUGAAAGUCUUGAAAUCUGGAAAAGGGCCUUAGUCUAUUGCUCCCAGGGUGGUGCUAUGUUGUCAUUGAACAGCUCACAGAUAAGGGAGUUAUUGCUCCCUGGUUAUCAAGCUGCCAGAAGGUAAAUGAUGGAACUAAGUUGGACUUGAAACACUCCCAAAUUAAAACAAAAACAAACCUUGCUUUGAGCUGUCAAAAGGCAUUUUACCAAGAAGUAGGACCUGCUGUUGUUUACUGACACUGAAAGGCAGGACUUUUUAAAAAGUCACUUUGGGGUCACUUCACAUCAGAAAGCAAUAGUAUGCACUGAUGCAAAAAUAGCAGAGUGAGGAGUUCCUGUCGUGGCUCAGUGGUUAAUGAAUCCGACCAGGAACCAUGAGGUUGCAUGUUCCAUCCCUUGCCUCGCUCAGUGGGUUAAGGAUCCGGCGUUGCCGUGAGCUGUGGUGUAGGUUGCAGACAUGGCUCGGAUUCCGAGUUGCUGUGGCUGUGGUGUAGGCCGGCAGCUAUGGCUCCGAUUGGAGCCCUAGCCUGGGAACCUCCAUAUGCCACCAGUGUGGCCCUACAAAGAUGAAAAAGAUUUAAAAAAAAAUAGAGUGAAAUUAGGAACAAGAAGAAGAAAGAAGAGGACAAUUUUUACCAUAAAGAUGGAAGUGGCUAUGUCUUAUUUAUUUUCUCAUUUCCUGCAUAUAGUGCAAAAACCUGUUACAUAGUAGGCAUAAGGUAAUUUUUUGUAGCCUGAAUAAUUAAAUGAAGAAGAAAACCAGCAAGUGGUGGGAACGUAAUAUAGUUGGGAUAGGGGAACUGUGGGAAAGCUAAGUGGCUCAAGCCCUGUGCAUGAACCUAAAAUGUCACCCCAAUUUGCCAUGAUAUAGCUGUACCACUAUAAAAACAAGGCAUAGCUUUUCAUCAUCUCUUACCUUGAAUGGUUAAGAAUAUAUAUGGUAAUGUACUCUAACCAUAGAUCUUAAUGUUUCCACCCCAAAAAAAGAAAUGAUAGGAGUUCCCUGAUGGCCCAGUGGGUUAAGAAUUCUGAGUUUUCACUGCUGUGGUUGGGGUUAUGGCUGUGGCUCAGGUUCGAUCCCUGGCCCAGGAACUUUUGUAUGCCAUGGAUGCAGGCAAAAAAAAAAGGGGGACAAUUAUGUGACAUGAUAGAGAUAUUAGCUAACUCUCCUGAUGGUAAUCAGAGUGCAGUAUGUAAAUGUGUCAAAUCAACACAUUGUAUACCUUAAACUUAUACAAUGUUGUAUGUCGAUUAUAUCUCAAUUUUUUUUUUUGUUUUUUUUUGCUGUUUAGGGCCACAUCCAAGGCAUAUGGAGGUUACCAGGAUAGGGGUUGAAUUGGAGCUACAGCUGCCAGCCUACGCCACAGCCACAGCAACAUGGGAUCCCCAACCUAUUGAGUGAGGCCAGGGAUCGAACGUGCAUCCUCAUGGAUACUAGUCAGAUUCAUUUCCACUGCACCACAGAAGGAACUCCUCUUACUGUUUCUUAAGAAAAGAAUAAGAAUAAGAAUAAAUGAUAAUGAUUAAGAGAGAAAGGAAUCAGACUGCAUAGUUUCAAAUUCCAGCCCUGCCCUGGAAACCUGCGAUGUUAAGUGAGGUGAGUAUAUUUCAGUAACUUGGGUUUCUCAUCUGUAAAAUGGGGAUUGUAGCAGUACCUAUCUCAGAGUUGUUAAGAGAUUUAAAUAAGUUUUUGCGUAGAAAGCUAUGAUAGGGUUAGCAUGUCAAAAAAUGCUUCAUAACUGAUCCUCAUCGGUAUUAAGAUGUUGAAUACACAUGAAGUUAGCCUGCACACCAAGCACACGCUAUUUUGGAUAUGCGCAUUGGAUGGGCAGUGCAUUGAUGCGCCAGGGGCAUUUGCCAGCCUCUGGCAAUGAAAUAAGUUUUCACAGGAUAUAUUGAUGGGUGUUAUAGAUUUCGUUUGUCCCACUUUUCAGACUGACAUGAGUCUGGUCUUGGUAAGAGAUACAGAACCUGAUUCUGUGCUCUGGACUCCACAAAAGUGCCUGUCUCCUGUGUAUCCACUACAGAAGAAGCCCAGUUGGGUACUUCAAAGAGAGUAUGGGAGGAGUUCUGGUGGCCUCGUGGUUAAAGGAUCUGGUGUUGUCACUGCUGUGGCUCAAGUCACUGGCCAGGAACUUCUGCAUGCUGUGGGCAUGGC
RNAcentral lists this long non-coding RNA (3858 nucleotides) under Sus scrofa (pig). RNAcentral describes it as "lncRNA (ENSSSCG00000058891.1)". Lineage: Eukaryota; Metazoa; Chordata; Mammalia; Artiodactyla; Suidae. The record is from RNAcentral.